Molecule: long non-coding RNA, 1941 nt
Filed under: Homo sapiens (human)
Lineage: Eukaryota; Metazoa; Chordata; Mammalia; Primates; Hominidae
Description: HSALNT0291497
Source: RNAcentral
GGAGCUGUGAGCUGGGGGGACUUUCAGAGUCGCUCUGCAUUAAGAUGGAAAAAAGAAGCUUGGAGAAGGGGAAAUGACUUUACCCAGCUAAGAAUAUGGCAAAGCUGAGCCAACUAGUCAAGUUUUCUGACCCCAAAUCCUGUAUUUCCCAUGACUCAUCUUGUGGAAGGCUGAGAUGCGGAAAUUGAGACUCAAAGAGGUUGAGCAGCAAUUCCGUGAGCUGAAACUUAAGCCCAGAUGCAUGUGAUUCCAGAGGCAGGCCCAGGCCCACUCGCCUCCUGUGAGUAUCAGGGAAGUCCAGUGCUGUCUGCUGCUGGCCUGUGAUGGAUGAAUUGGCCCUCUUGGACUUGGUCCAGUGCUUUCAAACUCGACUUUGUCCCUCCAUCCAUAUGUUCAGGCUUUUUUCCCUCCUCCCCACAGCCUGGGCAUGGCAGGUGAAGGAGCCUCCUCCUCUACUUUCUCUGCUUCUCAAAUGUUCUAAGACUUGGGAGAAGCCCAAAGACCUCCAGGCUCUUCACUCAUUCAUUCAACAGAUACCUUCUGAGCAUCUGGUAUGUUCUGGAUUUUGUCGUAGGGGUUGUGAACACAGCAGGCCAGGUUGUUGUCCGCAUGGAGGUUAUCAUGAACAAAUGCAUCAACGAGAAGAUUGUAGGGAAUGGCAUGAGCUUUGAUGUUACUAAAACAAGUUGGUGUCAUUGGAAGUGACUGGGGGAUGCGAGAGGGGCUGUUUUGCUAGCAUGUAGGGAAAUCCACUCCAUAGAGGGGAUGUUCGAACCGAGAUUUAAAUGAAAAGAAGCCACUCAGAGGAAGAUCUAGAAGAAGAAUAUUCCACACCAAGAGAGCGACAAGUGCAAAGUUCUCAAGGUUGGAAUGGACUUUACCAACUCAAGGAAGAGAAACGAGGCUGGAGCUUGGAGAGCAGGGGCAGAGGUCUGCUUCAGGGGACCCCCAAUCUAAGACAGAUAUCCCCAAUUUCACAUGAAGAGACUGAGGCAGCUGGAGGCAAAGCAGCUUGUACAAGACCCCACAAGAAGAGGAGGAGUUGCUUUCUUGAACUGCUGUGGUUUUACCCACAGUCACCGGACCGUGCUGCCGCCCUGGUGGGAGGAUGUGUCUGCCUGCACAGGUGGGAAAAUUAAGACCCAGAGAAGGAACUUCCCAGAGAGCUAUCCAGUGAGCCAAGUCAGAGUUAGGAGCAGGAGCCUCAAAUUCCCAGGAAAGCAGCACGGUCCUCGAGUUCCCCCAAAAGCCAGACGGCAUCUUUGACACCUGACUCCCAGGGGCCAGUCCUGGAGAGGACACCUGGCCUGGAGCCAACCUUCCUCUCCUCGCUGCCAAAGCUCUGCUCUCUGGGUUCUGGCACUGUCUGAAAAUUCCUCCGUUGGUCUGCUCUCGGCAGAGCAUAGAUUAUCACUCUUGUGCUAAUUAUUUUUAUGAUUAAAAGAUGAUAAAUUAUUAAACAAAGUCUGAAAAAUGUGCCAAGAUCUGCUCUGAGGCUGGGCCUGAGAAGUUGCCCCCUUGGCGUCCACGUUAAUUAAUAAAUGAGACUCUCCGUGGAGAGGAGCCACAGCUGGUAUAUCUGGCAGCCAGGCAGGAGCUGGCGGAGGCCAGAUGCCAUGCAGGUGGGGAGGAAGGGACUCCCUGGGAGUGCCCAGCCUGGGAUUUGGUAACAGAGUCCCCUCCCUCUCUGCUCCCAGCCUAGGACUCAGCGGAGAGCCCCUUGGUACCAUCCGAACAUCUGGCCUCUGGAAGAGGCCUAGGAUUUCAAGCUGAGAAGCUCCAGCUGAUACUUUAAUGCUGUUCCCCUCUCCAAAUGCAGACUUGGGAGCACCCCAAGUGUCUAAAGGAAGGCCGGAGACCAGGAUUCAAAUCUCUGCGAGCCCAUUUCUCCUUGGGUAACUUUUGGGUAGGUCACUCAAUGAGACGCCAAGCCUCAGUUUC